CGUCGNCGCCCGCUGGGUGUCGGUCUACGGCCCGGGKGCGGUGACUGUCGCGUCGCCGGUAAAACGGMACGCGACAAACCCUCGGUAGCCCSGCCGGCUGCUCGGCGGUACGCGCAAGGUAUCAGGCCGCACACACACUCUCUCUCUCUCUCCUCUUUGAGGAGAGGGGGGAGACGCGGUGCGUCGAGGCCGUCGCAAGCGCGCGCCACGGUACUCGGAGGUUUACGGACUUUGCGCCGUCCCCGGUCCUGGCCCGCUGUUGGUUUAGCACGGAUCACUCACCUUCGACAGGCCUGCGAACGUCUCCCGCGCGGAUGACGAUCGCGCACGCAUGUGUGCGAUUCGUUUGUNNNNGCGCGGAGA
Molecule: ribosomal RNA, 363 nt
Filed under: Cladomyrma maryatiae
Lineage: Eukaryota; Metazoa; Arthropoda; Insecta; Hymenoptera; Formicidae
Description: partial large subunit ribosomal RNA
Source: RNAcentral